UUUAAUUAUUUGGUGCUUCCUGCCAUGUACAUUUUCAAUUUAAAGUGAGGCUACGUCAACCCCUGGCAAGGCUUGUGCCCCACAUGAUAGCAACCAGCCAAGCACCUGCUUCUAGAAGCAAUCUGUGGACAGAGCUUGCAAAGGUCCAUGAGAUCACUAUUGCAAACCGGGGAGAGGUCAAGGCAAGAGGAAGUAUCUUGGGUGGAUUGGAGCAAUUUUCCCCUCCCACAAAUCCUCUGGCUGGAAAGUCCAGGCAGGGAGUGAUGACAGAAGCCAGGCACAGACCACAUUCCUGCCACAGAGGCAAGGUUUCACUCUCACCCAGACUGGAGUGCAGUGGCGCAAUCAUAGCUCACUGA
Molecule: long non-coding RNA, 359 nt
Filed under: Papio anubis (olive baboon)
Lineage: Eukaryota; Metazoa; Chordata; Mammalia; Primates; Cercopithecidae
Description: lncRNA (ENSPANG00000039351.1)
Source: RNAcentral